UGAAGGGCUCUUUGAUGACUCCCUCACCCAUCUUUUUCUUUUCUCCUUGACCAUGGUGCUCUUCCUUAUUGCAGACUUUACUGCCCCUUCAGCCUGGGCUUCAAAAGGUGAACACGUACAGCAGAUGUGAGAGCAACCACCAGCAAGGAACAAAACCUGCACUCAGCAGAACCCAGCCUAGAUCCGCUGACCAGCCAACCAACAUAGAGAUACAUUCAUGAGAAUAAAUAAUUGCUGCAAGUUACAGAGUUCUAUAUAAGUUUUUGGAUGUAGUAUUAUGAUGCUAAUAACUAAUGGAUAUAGAAAUUGAUUCAUGGGCAGGUCCAAGGAAUCCUUCCUGAGGAAAUGGCAGUCAGCUGAAUGUUACUCAGCCUUACAGAGGAAGCAAAUUAUGACACAUACUACAACAUGGAUAAACCUUGAGGACAUUAUCCUAAGAGAAAUGGGCCAGUGACAAAAGGAUAAAUGCUGUAAGACCCCACUUAUAUGAGGUGCACAGAGGAAAGGCCAUAUGAGCACACAGAGGGAAGGUGGCCGUCCACAAGCCAAGAGAAGAGGGCUCAAAAUGAAACCAAUCCACCUGGAGCCUGGAUCUGGGGCUUUUAGCGUAUAUAACUCUGAGAAAAUAAACUUGUGUUGGUUAGACCGCCUAGUGUUUCAUAUUUUGUUACAGCAUCCUGAGCUGACUAAUUCAUCUCAUAUGGGCACAUUCCUUGUUAGGAUUCUCUUACAGAGAAUCUCUUUCCAAGAUGAAAUUAAAGGGAAGUGAAUUCUCUCUUCAUUUCUUAAAAAUCACAAUGUAUAUCUGGGGAAUAAGAAAUUGUGGAAAAGCAAGGUGAAAUCCCCCAGGGGAAUGAGUUCCAGCAAUUCUCAUGACACACGGUGUGGCCUAACUCCCUAGCUUGUUGUUUUAUGUGCCUGGAGAAUCUGAAGAACAAGGCCAUCUGGAUCUCUAGACUUGAGUGCUGCUUUCCUGGAAUCCACCCUUGGAGCCCAGCCAUGUUGCAGGCUGACCCCAACCACCUGGAGGAGCCACCUGGGAGCACUGUGGUCCAUAGCCCCAACUGAGCUCCAGCCAGGUGAAUGUGCCAUCUUGUGAUGUUCAGUCCAGUCGAGACUUGUGGUGGCACAUCCUGCACGCCAUCUGAUGGCAACUCUGUGAAAGGCUCCUAGCAAGACCUGCCCAACCAAACCCUUCCUAAGCUCCUGACCCACAAAACAAUUACCCAAAUAAAAUGGUUGUUGUAAGUUGCCAAGUUUUGAGUUAAUUUGUCAGGUAGCAAAAGAUAACAGGAACAACCACCCAAAACAGAUGUGCAUUUGCCAGGGCCAAGGGAACUUACAGGGAACCACAUGUGAUAUUGGAGGAAGCAAAAAACCUUUAAGUUACAGUGAAUCACUGGAAGCAGCAGUGGGGUUGUGGGUCAGCUCGGAGGAAGGAGUGUUGAGGUCUAAGCAGGAGUGUCCUUUGGAGUCACAUGGUUCAGGGCAAAAGGGAAUGACAG
Molecule: long non-coding RNA, 1505 nt
Filed under: Equus caballus (horse)
Lineage: Eukaryota; Metazoa; Chordata; Mammalia; Perissodactyla; Equidae
Description: lncRNA (ENSECAG00000056334.1)
Source: RNAcentral